CCUACGGGAGGCAGCAGUGGGGAAUCUUGCGCAAUGGGCGAAAGCCUGACGCAGCAACGCCGCGUGCGGGAAGAAGGCUUUCGGGCUGUAAACCGCUUUCAGCAGGAACGAAAAUGACGGUACCUGCAGAAGAAGGAGCGGCCAACUAUGUGCCAGCAGCCGCGGUGAUACAUAGGCUUCAAGCGUUGUCCGGAUUUAUUGGGCGUAAAGAGUUCGUAGGCGGUCGAGUAAGUCGGGUGUGAAAAUUCUGGGCUCAACCCAGAGACGCCACCCGAUACUGCUUGACUUGAGUUCGAUAGGGGAGUGGGGAAUUCCUAGUGUAGCGGUGAAAUGCGCAGAUAUUAGGAGGAACACCGGUGGCGAAGGCGCCACUCUGGAUCGAUACUGACGCUGAGGAACGAAAGCAUGGGUAACAAACAGGAUUAGAUACCCUGGUAGUCCAUGCCGUAAACGGUGGGCACUAGGUGUGGGUUUCUAUUAACGAAAUCCGCGCCGUCGCUAACGCAUUAAGUGCCCCGCCUGGGGUGUACGGUCGCGAGACGUAAACGUAAAUAGAGUAGUAAGGUGUGAGAGUGCGACGGACGACGACGAGGGAGGAGG
RNAcentral lists this ribosomal RNA (600 nucleotides) under uncultured bacterium. Its description in RNAcentral is "bacterial SSU rRNA". It matches the Rfam family "Bacterial small subunit ribosomal RNA", at positions 338 to 954 of the family's 1533-position model. The record is from RNAcentral.